RNAcentral lists this ribosomal RNA (525 nucleotides) under uncultured bacterium. RNAcentral describes it as "bacterial SSU rRNA". It matches the Rfam family "Bacterial small subunit ribosomal RNA", at positions 37 to 610 of the family's 1533-position model. The record is from RNAcentral.
UGGCGGCAGGCCUAACACAUGCAAGUCGAACGCCCCGCAAGGGGAGUGGCAGACGGGUGAGUAACGCGUGGGAACCUUCCCAGUGGUACGGAAUAACUGAGGGAAACUUCAGCUAAUACCGUAUACGCCCCUAGGGGGAAAGAUUUAUCGCCAUUGGAUGGGCCCGCGUCGGAUUAGCUAGUUGGUAGGGUAACGGCCUACCAAGGCGACGAUCCGUAGCUGGUCUGAGAGGAUGAUCAGCCACACUGGGACUGAGACACGGCCCAGACUCCUACGGGAGGCAGCAGUGGGGAAUAUUGGACAAUGGGCGCAAGCCUGAUCCAGCCAUGCCGCGUGAGUGACGAAGGCCUUAGGGUUGUAAAGCUCUUUUGGCGGGGACGAUAAUGACGGUACCCGCAGAAUAAGCUCCGGCUAACUUCGUGCCAGCAGCCGCGGUAAUACGAAGGGAGCUAGCGUUGUUCGGAAUCACUGGGCGUAAAGCGCACGUAGGCGGAUAGUUAAGUCGGGGGUGAAAUCCCGGGGCUC